Molecule: long non-coding RNA, 909 nt
Filed under: Sorghum bicolor (sorghum)
Lineage: Eukaryota; Viridiplantae; Streptophyta; Magnoliopsida; Poales; Poaceae
Description: long non-coding RNA (SBIC_LNC001463)
Source: RNAcentral
CUACCGUGUCGAUUUUCUAGACUGGAGACAGGAAUCGUCGAGCGUUUAAAGAGAACAUAUCACCUGAUUUUGACACCUCCGGAUUAUUAGAAUAUGAUGGAUCAGAUUCAAAAUAUAUCCCAAAAAUCUGAUACGAUCAGAAUAAAGUAACUAAACUGAUAACAAAACAACUGAAAAAACAAAAACCAGAUACCAAACACAUGACUAAAGAAUAAAGAUACUGAAUCAAUACCUAUCUAUAAAGAGGGAAAUUUUCAGUCUGUCCUCCAAAUCUGUCUGCCAAUAUGUCCUUCUCCGGGUCGCUUGAAACCUAGUGGAAGAGAAAAAAAAAGAAUAAAAAUUUUUCUAGAGUUUCCAAUACAAAAUUUUCUGACACAUAAUAAUAUACAUCAGAGCAUGUUGAAAUUAAGGAAAGUACAGGGACCUAAGUGCAAAGCGCUAAAUUUCUGACCGCCCCUGGAAGGUGUGGGCCGUGGCUUGCCACCAUGUUUCUGUCCUCCCAAGUAAUCACGUGGAGAAAGUAAAAAUCGAAACCUAGAAUACGUGCUGGUGCUGGGUUCGCCUCCGGUCCGCCCCAUGCGAUACCUGCUCGUCUCUGCACCCAGCUGGGUGCACCGGCGGACGGCGGUCGGCCCCUUCUGGGCACGCACGCGCUGCAGCAGCGGGUGGCGGCGAGGGCGCGAGGCAGCAGGUGCUGGCGGCGCCGGCUGUCAGGGCGCGCCGGGCGACGCCCCCUGCUAGACGCGGGCAGCAACCAGGGCCAACACGCAGAGGACGAAUCGCUGAGAGGUAGCCGUCGGCAUCGAGUGGGGAUGCUGGAGGCCGGACGCAGGGUACCAAGCUGGGAUCGUGAGUGAGAGAGAGAGAGGUCGAGGGCAUCCUGCUCCUACGUGGCUGCAAGCACUGUCG